This 368-nucleotide unclassified non-coding RNA is filed under the name soil metagenome. RNAcentral's name for it is "partial contains 5.8S ribosomal RNA, internal transcribed spacer 2, and large subunit ribosomal RNA". The stretch from base 1 to 120 matches the Rfam family "5.8S ribosomal RNA", at positions 35 to 154 of the family's 154-position model. The record is from RNAcentral.
GAUGAAGAACGUAGCGAAAUGCGAUAAGUAAUGUGAAUUGCAGAAUUCAGUGAAUCAUCGAAUCUUUGAACGCACAUUGCGCCCGGCAGUAAUCUGCCGGGCAUGCCUGUCCGAGCGUCAUUUCUGCCCUCGAGCGAGUCCAGCAUCUAGGUGCUGGGCCCGCCCGGCGUUGGGGCACUACGGGAAGCCCUGUGCUGUCCCCCGUAGGCCCCGAAAUGAAGUGGCGGUCCUGCCGCGGCGCCCCCUGCGUAGUAUAACAGCUCGCUUCGGGACCCGGUGGAGGCCUGCCGUCAAACCUUACUCUCUAAGUUUGACCUCGGAUCAGGUAGGGUUACCCGCUGAACUUAAGCAUAUCAAUAAGCGGAGGA